CCUGGGCCAGUGGAGGCGGCCUGGCUGUGCCGGUGUGUUCUGCCCACACGUGGUGGGGGGCAUCGCAGCCAUCUCCUACGCCCUACUCCCACCACGUGGAACCUGCUAGGUCCUUUUUGAAUCAGAAUCUCCAAGGAUAUAAGAAGGCAUCACAGUAGAGACAGGAUUUGGUGACGAAAUCUUUGAUGAAUUCUUGCUGUGCUGUGAGUUCUUCUCCUCCCCAUCGGAGUGAAGCUCCAGCCUAUUUCCCUCAUGUCAUGCCUACAGGCUUCCAGAAGACUAGUUGAGGAACUUGAUCUGCCAGUCUUGCCUGUGGUGGGCAGCACCUGAUGUCUCUGCAGUUUUGCAGCCUUAGAGAGUUCAAAAGACCUGCUCCAUAUGUGUGCGUUUCAGGUGUCAGCCAGAAAUAUGGCAGUUUAUACACAGAAUUUGGUCUUCUUCCUCUCUAACUUCUCUCCUUUUGGGGAUUUCCUUUCUUGGAUUUUCUCCCACUUUCCAGCUAUUCUAGUUGUCCCAAACUCUGUCUUCUGCUUUUUCAACCCAGUAAGUCUCAGGGCAACAACAGGGGCCCGCCCUCAAGCAAAACGCCAUAAAAGUGGGAAACUCACUGAAUCCCAUUUCUUUCUCACGAGCACUAACACCUCUCUAGUAAAUGGCUUCUUUUGGUGUUCUCCCGUCUCUUCAGAUAUUUUUUCUAUUUGGUCCAGAGUUUGCAGUUUUUCCCUGUAGGAGGGUUGGUCCAAAAGGAAAUACCUGGUUAUUGCUGGAAGCAGAACCCCUUAUUUAACCCCUUAUUGGUGUCCCCCCACCUCUUUUUGAUUGAUCAGUUUAGCUAGAGAUUUACCAAUUUUAUUAAUCUUUUAAAAGAACAGCUUUUCUAUUCAUUUGAUUUCCAAAAUUAUCUUUCUUUCCUUUUCUACUACUUUUGUUUUUCCCAAUAAUUUCUUAAAGUGGAAACUUAAAUAAUUUAGACUUUUCUUCCUUUCUAAUAUGAACACGUAAGGCUAUAAUUUUUCCCUCUAAGCACUGCUUUAACUGCA
This is a non-coding RNA of Equus caballus (horse), 1040 nucleotides long. The record is from RefSeq and is a predicted model, not a curated record. NCBI's taxonomy places the organism in Eukaryota, Metazoa, Chordata, Mammalia, Perissodactyla, Equidae.